UACGGAGGGUGCGAGCGUUGUCCGGAAUCACUGGGCGUAAAGGGCGCGUAGGCGGCGCGAGCAGUCGGUCGUGAAAGUCCGGAGCUCAACUCCGGAUCGGCGGUCGAUACUCUCGUGCUUGAGCACUGUAGAGGCAGGUGGAAUUCCGGGUGUAGCGGUGGAAUGCGUAGAGAUCCGGAAGAACACCAGUGGCGAAGGCGCUCUGCUAGGCCGUAACUGACACUGAGGGACGAAAGCUAGGGGAGCGAAUGGG
Molecule: ribosomal RNA, 253 nt
Filed under: uncultured bacterium
Lineage: Bacteria
Description: partial 16S ribosomal RNA
Rfam family: Bacterial small subunit ribosomal RNA
Source: RNAcentral